This 358-nucleotide transfer-messenger RNA is filed under the name Phycisphaerae. RNAcentral's name for it is "JAAYDY01 sp012729015 Standard tmRNA". It matches the Rfam family "transfer-messenger RNA". From Rfam's summary of the family: Bacterial tmRNA, also known as 10Sa RNA or SsrA, is named for its dual tRNA and mRNA-like properties. Its role is to liberate the mRNA from a stalled ribosome. RNAcentral also lists the same sequence under 1 other name. The record is from RNAcentral. Lineage: Bacteria; Pseudomonadati; Planctomycetota.
GGGGGCGAUUGGUUUCGACGGGGUCUAGCGUGUUCGGAGCUUGCGUGGAGGGGUUGCGAGGAUGCCCCUUUAAACACCUCGCACCUAAACUAAAUGCCAACACUGGCAUGCGUAUGGCCGCCUAGGAAUAGGUAGCCCGUCCCCGGGACUUCGCCUGCGGGUUCCGACGGACGCCGACAGCAGGCUGUGACGGCCAAGUGCACCUCUGGCGCGGCCGCCGAGAUCUAGCAGCGGUUGGGUUCCCAAGGGGCGCGUUGUCUUGCCCGAGGGAAUCGAGAGCCUGAAAGGACAACUACCCACGUAGACGGCCCGAGCACCCGACAUCCGGACGCGGGUUCGAUUCCCGCCGCCUCCACCA